RNAcentral lists this ribosomal RNA (426 nucleotides) under uncultured bacterium. Its description in RNAcentral is "bacterial SSU rRNA". It matches the Rfam family "Bacterial small subunit ribosomal RNA", at positions 354 to 796 of the family's 1533-position model. The record is from RNAcentral.
GUAGGGAAUAUUGCGCAAUGGGGGAAACCCUGACGCAGCGACGCCGCGUGAGCGAUGAAGGACUUCGGUUUGUAAAGCUCUGUCGCAGGGGAAUAAUUUUGAAGGUACCCUGUAAGAAAGGAUCGGCUAACUUCGUGCCAGCAGCCGCGGUAAGACGAGGGAUCCUAGCGUUGUUCGGAAUCAUUGGGCGUAAAGCGGGUGUAGGUGGCUUUGUAAGUCAGAUGUGAAAUCCCUGGGCUUAACCCAGGACGUGCAUUUGAUACUGCUAAGCUUGAGUGUGGGAGAGGCUAGUGGAAUUCCUGGUGUAGUGGUGAAAUACGUAGAUAUCAGGAGGAACAUCGGAGGCGAAGGCGGCUAGCUGGCCCAACACUGACACUGAGAUCCGAAAGCGUGGGGAUCAAACAGGAUUAGAAACCCGGGUAGUCC